GCCACCGUAGCUCAGUUGGUUAGAGCGGCUGAUUCGUAAUCAGCAGGUCAUGAGUUCGACUCUCAUCGGUGGCU
This 74-nucleotide transfer RNA is filed under the name Bacteroidales bacterium. Its description in RNAcentral is "tRNA-Thr". It matches the Rfam family "tRNA". From Rfam's summary of the family: Transfer RNA (tRNA) molecules are approximately 80 nucleotides in length. Their secondary structure includes four short double-helical elements and three loops (D, anti-codon, and T loops). Further hydrogen bonds mediate the characteristic L-shaped molecular structure. tRNAs have two regions of fundamental functional importance: the anti-codon, which is responsible for specific mRNA codon recognition, and the 3' end, to which the tRNAs corresponding amino acid is attached (by aminoacyl-tRNA synthetases). tRNAs cope with the degeneracy of the genetic code in two manners: having more than one tRNA (with a specific anti-codon) for a particular amino acid; and 'wobble' base-pairing, i.e. permitting non-standard base-pairing at the 3rd anti-codon position. The record is from RNAcentral. Lineage: Bacteria; Pseudomonadati; Bacteroidota; Bacteroidia; Bacteroidales. RNAcentral also lists the same sequence under 1 other name.